RNAcentral lists this ribosomal RNA (155 nucleotides) under Lupinus angustifolius (narrow-leaved blue lupine). RNAcentral describes it as "rRNA 5_8S_rRNA". It matches the Rfam family "5.8S ribosomal RNA". Rfam says of the family: 5.8S ribosomal RNA (5.8S rRNA) is a component of the large subunit of the eukaryotic ribosome. It is transcribed by RNA polymerase I as part of the 45S precursor that also contains 18S and 28S rRNA. Functionally, it is thought that 5.8S rRNA may be involved in ribosome translocation. The record is from RNAcentral. Lineage: Eukaryota; Viridiplantae; Streptophyta; Magnoliopsida; Fabales; Fabaceae.
GAAUCUCGGCAACGGAUAUCUCGGCUCUUGCAUCGAUGAAGAAAGUAGCAAAAUGUGAUACUGGUGUGAAUUGGAGAAUCCCGUGAACCUUCGAGUCUUUGAACGCAAGUUGUGCCCGAAGCCAUUAGGCUGAGGGCACGCCUGCUUGGGUGUUG